GAUGAACGCUAGCUAUAGGCUUAACACAUGCAAGUCGAGGGACCGGCGCACGGGUGAGUAACGCGUAUCCAACCUACCCAUAACUAAGGGAUAACCCAGCGAAAGUUGGACUAAUACCUUAUGGUUAUGGAUGGGGAUGCGUCUGAUUAGCUUGUUGGCGGGGGAACGGCCAACCAAGGCAACGAUCCGUAGGGGUUCUGAGAGCAAGGUCCCCCGGAUUGGAACUGAGGCACAGUCCAAACUCGGAGGGGAGGCAGGAGUGAGGAAUAUUGGUGAAUGGACGCAAGUCUGACCCAGCCAAGUAGCGUGCAGGAUGACUGCCUAUGGGUUGUAAACUGCUUUGAUAUGGGGAUAGGUACCAUAUGAAUAAGGACCGGCUAAUUCCGUGCCAGCAGCCGCGGUAAUUC
This 407-nucleotide ribosomal RNA is filed under the name uncultured bacterium. RNAcentral's name for it is "partial 16S ribosomal RNA". It matches the Rfam family "Bacterial small subunit ribosomal RNA", at positions 28 to 526 of the family's 1533-position model. The record is from RNAcentral.